This 2138-nucleotide long non-coding RNA is filed under the name Homo sapiens (human). RNAcentral's name for it is "HSALNT0100764". Lineage: Eukaryota; Metazoa; Chordata; Mammalia; Primates; Hominidae. The record is from RNAcentral.
CCCACAUUGUAUAUAUAUUUUAUUUCAGAGUAGAUAGAUGGGAGGGAGCAUUUACAAUUCAUGUAAGUACUCAUUUUAGAGAUAAGAAAACAGAUCUAAAGAAUGAUAAUCAAUGUGUUGCACCUUCUUCAGUAUAGUAGUCCCUUAGUAUACAUGGGGAAUUGGUUCCAGGACCCCCACAUGUACCCCAAAUCUGCAGACACUCAAGUCCCACAGUCAGCCCUGCAGAACCUGAGUACGUGAAAAGUCAACCCUCCUUAUACAUGAGUUUACCAUCCCACCAAUACUGUAUUUUCCAUCCAUCUUUGGUUGAAAAAAGUCCACAUAAGUAGACCCCUGCAGUUCCAACUCCCGUUGUGCAAGAAUCAACUGUAAAAUGUUAUUGGAGAACAACAUGCCCAUUUCUUUAUGUAUUGUCUGUAACUGCUUACAUGCUACAAAGGCAGAAUUGUAGUAGUUUCAACAUAGACUGUAUAGCCUGCAAAGCCAAAAAUAUUUACUGUGUGGCCCAUUCAGAAAAAGCUUUUAAAUCCCUGCUCUAGAACUCAAGUCUCCCAAUUCUAUGAUGAAUUUACUUCAUUUCACCCAGUACUUACAGCACCUGCUGUGAGCUGGGCCUUCCAAAUGGGUAAGACAGCCCCAGUACCUACACUCCUCCAGGAGUAGCUCCAGCUCCACUGGUAUUCUUUCUACUAUGCCACUAUCCUUCUCAGUUAACAGCGGGAAGUGGAAAACUCGAAGUUCAUUUAUUUAGCAAAUAGUAUUAAGCACUGCUAUAUCCCAGGCACUGUUCCAGGCUUUGGGAAUCCAUCAGUAAGCCAUAAACAUAUAAAUCCCUGUCUUGGCUAGGCACGGUGCCUCAUGCCUGUAAUCCCAGCACUUUGGGAGGUCGAGGUGGGUGGAUCACCUGAGGUAAGGAGUUCGAGACCAGCCUGAUCAAUAUAGUGAAACCCUGUCUCUACUAAAAAUACAAAAACUAGCCAGAUGUGGUGCGUGGUGCACACCUGUAAUCCCAGCUACCUAGGAGGCUGAGGCAGGAGAAUUGCUUGAACCUGGGCGGCAGAGGUUGUAGUGAGCUGAGAUAGCACCAUUGCACUCCAGCCAAGGCAACAAGAGCAAAACUUCGUCUCAAAAAAAAAAAGAAGAAGAAAAAAAUAAAAUAAAUCCCUGUCUUCAUGGACUAUCCAUUCCAGUGAGAAGAGGUGGACAUAGACAGUAUUUUUAAUUUCUAUCCCUUAGAUAAAGAACUGCCCAAGGUGAAAGCUAAUGAGGACAGAGCUGGAAUUAGAGCCCAGGGCUAACUGACUAACAUAGAGGUGUUUCCAAAAGAUGAUUUUGCCUCUGUACAGAAGAGCAUGUUGUUUUCUUGGAUCUUUCUCCUUCAAUUCAAAAUCUUGAUCUGUCAGGAGAGCUGGGCCAACCCAUCAGGUUGCAGGCAGGUGUCCAUGGUGAUGAAGGGAUGGAAAAACUCACUCCUGACCUCCCUCUCAGGUUUUGGCCUCUCAGGCACCAAAUUCCUAAGCACAGAACUGGGAAGUAAGAUCCUCGGCGGCCCUUCCUACGGGACAGUCCUGCAGGUCCAUCAGAGUAUUUGAUUGUUUAAACGAACAUCUGUCUGGGGCAGAAACUGCAAAUAGGAUAGGAGAAGUUUGUUUGAAUUUCCCUUUGGGACCUCAAAGCAGCAGGUGGAGAGAAGGAACUUUUAAAAUUUCCAUGUCAGCAGUGAGGAAAAGUGGAAGGAAGGAAGAGAAAAACAAAAGGAGGUCUCACAAAAGCAUGUCAGAGUCAAAAUCAGAAAUAGAUGUGAGAGUCUCUGGAAUCAUGUCCUUAGUUCUGGCUUCAAACAGAGACCCUUCCUCUCUCUGCAGACCACUCUCCAGGAAAGUCAGCAUAAUAGGGUAGGUACAUAUAAACAUUUUACUCCAUAAGAAUUCUUCUGUCAAAAAGACUUUCAUCUUUGCAUUUUGAUUUUAGGGUUAAGAAGUCUGAUGCUUUAUUAAACUGGAAAACUCACCUGCCCAAAACCAUUGCUUUCUUCAAUGGUUCUGCACUACUGAAAUCACUCAGUACUUUCUGACAAACAACUUAAAAUGAACCCAUCCUAUACUACUGUCUGACCUUUAAAGAAUGUGUAGAAA